GGUACGACGCCGCCUGGCACCCCGUCGCCUACGGCAGCGAUGAGGACCACAAGCCUAUCAUACCCGAACCGUUAUCCCCGAUGCUGGCGCCGGGCGAGAUGGUGGAGUUGACGGAGCACGGGUGGCAGCCGCAGCCGCCGCCGCUGGUGCGCCGCGUCAACCCCGACCCGCCGCCCCCCGUCGCCGUCGAGCUGGAGGUCACUACCACCGACAUAUAGCCUGGAUACUUCCAUAGUCUUUUUAGGGCGCUUUUUUCUACUUCAAGAUUGCUUGAAGAAAAUUUACGCAGUUUAUGACUGUUUUGGUAGGGUGAGAUAGAACAACGAUCAGAUGAUGACAGGUAAUAAUUGGAAUUAUUACCUAAUUAAUUUAAACCUAAAUGCACACAUCAGCUAAGUAUGGAUGAGUGAUUAGUUAUGCGCGGUAUUUUUGUUCCACGAGAAGCCUAAAUUCUAAUGGUUAGUUAUUCUAAUAUAGAUAAAAUAAGUUUUUAAUUGUGGAUUCAUUGAAGACUAAUGCUGUCGUGCAUGCUAGCAUACGUGUAAAUAAAGUAGUUAACUCCUAUUAAGUAAGUAAUCUAAGUUUGUCGUUUUUAAAUUAAUUAUUGUCUUGUUGUAUAGUUCAGUUUAGUAAAUAUUCCGUUUAUGUUCCUGUAAAUAUUUACAUUUUGAUAAUAAACGUUCAAAAGUG
Long non-coding RNA from Aricia agestis (brown argus), 690 nucleotides. RefSeq lists it as uncharacterized. The transcript has 2 exons. Lineage: Eukaryota; Metazoa; Arthropoda; Insecta; Lepidoptera; Lycaenidae. The record is from RefSeq and is a predicted model, not a curated record.